AGCCGGCACAGGGCUGUGCUGCAGAUGGGCAGAGGCAGCUGUUGGCUUUGGGGCUGCAGUUCCCCCCACCUUCCCAUGCUUUGUGUCAAGGGUGCAGCCACGCACACAGCAGCACCUCCUGCUGUGCUCUGAGUUCUGGGAGGGGAUUUCAGAGGGGGAAAAAAAAAAAUAGAAUGAAAAAAAAUAGAAUGAAAAUAUUGAAUCUGGUUCCAUUUAAUGAUGAUUACAGAUUGUAAUGAUUUCGCAUUCUGCAGCCUCCGCCAGGUGGGGCCUGGGCUGACUCCUCUGCGCUGCUGGGAGGCGGACGGAGCUGCAAAACCGCGACAUUUCCAAUAGUAAACACAUCCACAGCGCGCUCCUUCGUGUGCCUUCCUGCCUCCUCUUUGUGUUUUAUCUCGGUCUCCCGGGAGCGGGGAACGCAGCGUGUCUGACAGACGCCAACCCCGCACAACGGAGCAGAAAGCGGCUUCCUCCGGCCCUGAGCAGCAGAUCAGCUGGCGCUGCGAUUGCAGGACGUAAGAAGAUUGCGAGUUUAAAUUUAGCAUCAUCAGGAAAAGAGCGAGCUCUCCUCACGACGCAUUUCGUGCUGCGUUUAGCCGGGGGGUCUCCCACGGACGGAAAGGCAGAGCCCACCGCAAGGAUGCUGCGCUCACGGGGCUGCGGUGGUCCCGACCAAGCGGCUCCCCACGGCUUUCCCGCAGCGUUCGGACACGCGUGAAGCGACUCCGCGUUCCCCCCCCCCCCCCCCCCCCCCCCCCCCACCUCCCAGGCCGGCCCCACUGCUGGCUCCGCCCGCCGUGAUGCGUUCGGGAGGCGUCUCCGCUGCCGCCGCUCCGCGGAGCCGAGCCAGGGCCGGGCCGAACCGAACCGAACCGCGCAACGAGGGUUGAAGAGGCGAAGCGAGGAGGAAGGAGAUCGAUGGGCGGCGAGAGACACGGAGCGGCGUCUCGGCCUGCAGCGAUGGAUGCGUGAUCUGCGGAACGCUGUCCGUCUGUCCGUCCGUCUGCUUGCAGCACGGAGGGGGGGGGUGUCCACGAGCCUUGGCCGCUCCAUCCGAGGGACGCCCCGCAGCCCGCCGGCACCGCACUCAGAGCUGCUCAGAGGGCAUCGGGACACGAAGGCACUGCCAGCCGAAUUGCACCGCGAUGUCGCCGUUUGGUGAGCUGCGGGAAGGCCCCGCGUGUCCCUCCGGUGAGGCCGGGCUGCCCGCAGGGAGCGCUGAGUCCGCGCAUCCCCUGCCCUGAGCCGGCCCAGCACCGGCUGCGUCCCUGGGAUGCUCACCUCUGAACGCAGCGCUGCAGCCGAGCUGCUCCGACCCAGCAGGGUGUAUUUCGGGAGGAAGUUCUCAUCU
This 1351-nucleotide long non-coding RNA is filed under the name Phasianus colchicus (ring-necked pheasant). Its description in RNAcentral is "lncRNA (ENSPCLG00000013174.1)". The record is from RNAcentral. Lineage: Eukaryota; Metazoa; Chordata; Aves; Galliformes; Phasianidae.